AGCGAACGCUGGCGGCAGGCCUAACACAUGCAAGUCGAACGAACCUUUCGGGGUUAGUGGCGGACGGGUGAGUAACACGUGGGAACGUGCCUUUAGGUUCGGAAUAACUCAGGGAAACGUGUGCUAAUACCGAAUGUGCCCUUCGGGGGCAAGAUUUAUCGCCUUUAGAGCGGCCCGCGUCUGAUUAGCUAGUUGGUUGAGGUAAUGGCUCACCAAGGCGACGAUCAGUAGCUGGUCUGAGAGGAUGAUCAGCCACAUUGGGACUGAGACACGGCCCAAACUCCUACGGGAGGCAGCAGUGGGGAAUCUUGCGCAAUGGGCGAAAGGCUGACGCAGCCAUGCCGCGUGAAUGAUGAAGGUCUUAGGAUUGUAAAAUUCUUUAACCGGGGACGAUAAUGACGGUACCCGGAGAAGAAGCCCCGGCUAACUUCGUG
This 434-nucleotide ribosomal RNA is filed under the name uncultured bacterium. RNAcentral describes it as "partial 16S ribosomal RNA". It matches the Rfam family "Bacterial small subunit ribosomal RNA", at positions 29 to 507 of the family's 1533-position model. The record is from RNAcentral.